This 448-nucleotide ribosomal RNA is filed under the name uncultured bacterium. RNAcentral's name for it is "SSU rRNA". It matches the Rfam family "Bacterial small subunit ribosomal RNA", at positions 26 to 518 of the family's 1533-position model. The record is from RNAcentral.
AGAGCGAACGCUGGCGGCAGGCCUAACACAUGCAAGUCGAGCGCUCGUAGCAAUACGAGAGCGGCAGACGGGAGAGUAACACGUGGGAACGUACCCUUUGGUUCGGAACAACACAGGGAAACUUGUGCUAAUACCGAAUAAGCCCUUACGGGGAAAGAUUUAUCGCCAAAGGAUCGGCCCGCGUCUGAUUAGCUAGUUGGUGGGGUAAUGGCUCACCAAGGCGACGAUCAGUAGCUGGUCUGAGAGGAUGACCAGCCUCAUUGGGACUGAGACACGGCCCAAACUCCUACGGGAGGCAGCAGUGGGGAAUAUUGGACAAUGGGCGCAAGCCUGAUCCAGCCAUGCCGCGUGGAUAAUGAAGGCCUUAGGGUUGUAAAGUCCUUUUAACGGGGAAGAUAAUGACGGUACCCGUAGAAUAAGCCCCGGCUAACUUCGCGCCAGUAGCCGC